This 346-nucleotide unclassified non-coding RNA is filed under the name Ascomycota sp. RNAcentral's name for it is "partial contains small subunit ribosomal RNA, internal transcribed spacer 1, and 5.8S ribosomal RNA". The stretch from base 1 to 47 matches the Rfam family "Eukaryotic small subunit ribosomal RNA", at positions 1785 to 1831 of the family's 1831-position model. The record is from RNAcentral. Lineage: Eukaryota; Fungi; Ascomycota.
AAAGUCGUAACAAGGUUUCCGUAGGUGAACCUGCGGAAGGAUCAUUAACACGUAUCCAACGUUAAACAACCUGUGAACCUUCAUUCCUGCUCUCCUUGGAGGCGAUGCCUGGUAAAUCACGCGAACAGUUUGAUUCAGGCACCACUUCUGGGGAUUCGAUGCGGUCGUCGUAAUUUAGACUUGGUGUCCUCACGGAUAACCGAUUAUCGGAUCACUGGUCCUCACGAUCUGUGGACAAGUCUCUGGGCUUCGGCCCCCUUUAUAUUAACCCCAUUCUAACUCUCGAGGCUGCGGAAACGCGUCUCACAAAAACGAACAACUGUUAACAAUGGAUAUCUUGGUUCUC